This 411-nucleotide ribosomal RNA is filed under the name uncultured bacterium. RNAcentral's name for it is "bacterial SSU rRNA". It matches the Rfam family "Bacterial small subunit ribosomal RNA", at positions 356 to 784 of the family's 1533-position model. The record is from RNAcentral.
UGGGAAUAUUGCACAAUGGGCGCAAGCCUGAUGCAGCAAUGCCGCGUGAGUGAAGACGGCCUUAGGGUUGUAAAACUCUUUCGCUAGGGAAGAUAAUGACGGUACCUAGUAAAGAAGUCCCGGCUAACUCCGUGCCAGCAGCCGCGGUAAUACGGAGGGGACUAGCGUUGUUCGGAAUUACUGGGCGUAAAGAGUUCGUAGGCGGACUAGCAAGUUAGAGGUGAAAUCCCAGGGCUCAACCUUGGAACUGCCUUUAAAACUGCUAGUCUAGAGACCGGAAGAGGUUAGGGGAAUACCUAGUGUAGAGGUGAAAUUCGUAGAUAUUAGGUGGAACACCAGUGGCGAAGGCGCCUAACUGGUCCGGUACUGACGCUGAGGAACGAAAGCGUGGGGAGCAAACAGGAUUAGAUA